RNAcentral lists this ribosomal RNA (465 nucleotides) under Vreelandella stevensii. Its description in RNAcentral is "partial 16S ribosomal RNA". It matches the Rfam family "Bacterial small subunit ribosomal RNA", at positions 338 to 795 of the family's 1533-position model. Lineage: Bacteria; Pseudomonadati; Pseudomonadota; Gammaproteobacteria; Oceanospirillales; Halomonadaceae. The record is from RNAcentral.
CCUACGGGAGUCUGCAGUGGGGAAUAUUGGACAAUGGGGGCAACCCUGAUCCAGCCAUGCCGCGUGUGUGAAGAAGGCCCUCGGGUUGUAAAGCACUUUCAGUGAGGAAGAACGCCUGGUGGUUAAUACCCAUCAGGAAAGACAUCACUCACAGAAGAAGCACCGGCUAACUCCGUGCCAGCAGCCGCGGUAAUACGGAGGGUGCGAGCGUUAAUCGGAAUUACUGGGCGUAAAGCGCGCGUAGGUGGCUUGAUAAGCCGGUUGUGAAAGCCCCGGGCUCAACCUGGGAACGGCAUCCGGAACUGUCAAGCUAGAGUGCAGGAGAGGAAGGUAGAAUUCCCGGUGUAGCGAUGAAAUGCGUAGAGAUCGGGAGGAAUACCAGUGGCGAAGGCGGCCUUCUGGACUGACACUGACACUGAGGUGCGAAAGCGUGGGUAGCAAACAGGAUUAGAUACCCUAGUAGUC